GUGAUAGGGUACUUUUUGUAGAACGGUCCGGCGAGCGAUUGUAUGCAGCAAGGUUAAGGACUUAAGGUCUGGAGCCGAAGCGAAAGCGAGUUUGAAAAGGGCGUUAAGUUGCAUACAAUGGGCCCGAAACCGGGUGACCUACCCAUGGUCAGGUUGAAGUGGAAGUAAAAUUCCAUGGAGGACCGAACCGACCUCCGUUGAAAAGGCGGCGGAUGAACUGUGGGUAGCGGAGAAAUUCCAAUCGAACCCGGAGAUAGCUGGUUCUCCCCGAAAUAGUUUUAGGACUAGCCUCAAGUUAGAUACCUGGAGGUAAAGCACUGAAUAGCCUAGCGGCCGAGAGGUUAGCGAAGCUUAUCAAACUCAGAAUGCCAGAGUAUUGAUGCUUGGGAGUCAGACAGUGUCAGAUAAAUGUCAUUGUCAAAAGGGAAACAGCCCAGAUCUACAGCUAAGGUCCCAAAGUCAGGUUAAGUGGAAAACGAUGUGAAGAUACGCAGACAACCAGGAUGUUGGCUCAGAAGCAGCCACUCAUUCAAAGAGUGCGUAAUAGCUCACUGGUCGAGCGUCUUUGCGCGGAGAAUUUAACGGGGCUAAACCUGACACCGAAGCUUAGGCAAUCCAGUAAUGGAUUGGGUAGGGGAGCGUUGUAUACGCGGCGAAACAGUAGCGCAAGCGGCUGUGGAGUGUAUAGAAGUGAGAAUGCCGGAAUGAGUAGCGCGAAUGCAGUGAGAAUCUGCAUGGCCGAAAGCCUCAGGUUUUUGGAGGAAGGUUCGUCCGCUCCAAGUUAGUCGGGAGCUAAGGUGAGGCCGGAAGGCGUAGCCGAUGCACAGACGGUAGAGAUUCCGUCACCACCAAAAGAGUUAAGCACAGGGACACAUUUGAAGUCUCAGAGCCGGGUGUUGGUUCCGGUAGAGAUCGAGGGAAGUUAGUACCGAAGUCUGGGAUGGAAGAUGGCGAGAAAAGCUGUGUGUAUUUCUGAGGUGCCCGUACCGCAAACCGACACAGGUAGGUAGGAAGAAGAUUCUAAGGCCAACGGGAGAAGGGUUGUUAAGGAACUCGGCAAAUUGACCCCGUAACUUCGGGAGAAGGGGUGCUCCAGAGAUGGAGCCGCAGAGAAUCGGCCCAAGCAACUGUUUACCAAAAACACAGGUUUGUGCUAAAUCGAAAGAUGACGUAUACGAGCUGACGCCUGCCCGGUGCUGGAAGGUUAAGAGGAGAUGUGCAAGCAUUGAAUCGAAGCCCCAGUGAACGGCGGCCGUAACUAUAACGGUCCUAAGGUAGCGAAAUUCCUUGUCAGGUAAGUUCUGACCCGCAUGAAAGGCGUAAUGAUUUGGGCACUGUCUCAACAGCCCGCCCGGCGAAAUUGUAGUACCGGUGAAGAUGCCGGUUACCCGCGACAAGACGGAAAGACCCCAUGGAGCUUUACUGUAGCCUAAUAUUGGGUUUCGAUGUUGCAUGCACAGGAUAGAUGGGACACAGGGAAACAAUCGCUUUGGCGGUUGCGGAGUGGCCGUUGGGAUACCAUCCUUGCGAUAUUGGAAUUCUAACCUGCGGCUCUGAAUCGAGUCGGGGGACAUUGUUAGGUGGGCAGUUUGACUGGGGCGGUCGCCUCCUAAAGAGUAACGGAGGCGUUCAAAGGUUCGCUCAGCUUGAACGGAAAUCAAGCAAAAGAGUGCAAACGCAGAAGCGAGCCUAACUGCGAGACUGACGGGUCGAGCAGUAACGAAAGUUGGAGUUAGUGAUCCGGUGGUAUGUGAGUGGAAAUGCCAUCGCUCAACGGAUAAAAGUUACCCUGGGGAUAACAGGCUGAUCUCCCCCAAGAGUCCACAUCGACGGGGAGGUUUGGCACCUCGAUGUCGGCUCAUCGCAUCCUGGGGCUGUAUUCGGUCCCAAGGGUUUGGCUGUUCGCCAAUUAAAGCGGUACGCGAGCUGGGUUCAGAACGUCGUGAGACAGUUCGGUCCCUAUCUGUCGUGGGCGCAGGAUAUUUGAUGGGAGCUGUCCCUAGUACGAGAGGACCGGGACGGACGUACCUCUGGCGCACCAGUUGUUCCGCCAGGAGCAUAGCUGGGCAACUACGUACGGAUCGGAUAAACGCUGAAAGCAUCUAAGCGUGAAGCCGACCCAAAGAUAAGAUAUCCCACUGAUUAGAUCAGGUAAGAUCCCUUGA
This 2165-nucleotide ribosomal RNA is filed under the name metagenome. RNAcentral's name for it is "bacterial LSU rRNA". It matches the Rfam family "Bacterial large subunit ribosomal RNA", at positions 593 to 2841 of the family's 2925-position model. The record is from RNAcentral.